CAGAGUUCAUGCCCUUCGGGGUAGACCUCCCACCCUGUUUAAUUACUAUUGUUGCUUUGGCAGGCUGCCCUCACCAUGGGGCGUCCGGGUUCCGCCCGCGUCUCGCCUGCCAGAGGAAAUCAAACUCUGAAUUUUUGUAUCGUCUGAGUAAAACAUAAUAAGUUA
This 165-nucleotide unclassified non-coding RNA is filed under the name uncultured Helotiales. Its description in RNAcentral is "sequence contains ITS1". Lineage: Eukaryota; Fungi; Ascomycota; Leotiomycetes; Helotiales. The record is from RNAcentral.